GUCGAACGACAUAGUGGCAGACGGGUGAGUAACGCGUGGGAACGUACCUUUCGCUACGGAAUAGCUCUUGGAAACGAGUGGUAAUACCGUAUACGCCCUCCGGGGGAAAGAUUUAUCGGCGAAAGAUCGGCCCGCGUUAGAUUAGGUAGUUGGUGGGGUAAUGGCCUACCAAGCCUACGAUCUAUAGCUGGUCUGAGAGGAUGAUCAGCCACACUGGGACUGAGACACGGCCCAGACUCCUACGGGAGGCAGCAGUGGGGAAUCUUGCACAAUGGGCGAAAGCCUGAUGCAGCCAUGCCGCGUGAAUGAUGAAGGCCUUAGGGUUGUAAAAUUCUUUCGCCAGGGAUGAUAAUGACAGUACCUGGUAAAGAAGCCCCGGCUAACUUCGUGCCAGCAGCCGCGGUAAUACGAAGGGGGCUAGCGUUGUUCGGAAUUACUGGGCGUAAAGCGCACGUAGGCGGACUUUUAAGUCAGAUGUGAAAUCCCGGGGCUCAACCUCGGAACUGCAUUUGAAACUGGAAGUCUGGAGUUCAGGAGAGGUUAGCGGAAUACCGAGUGUAGAGGUGAAAUUCGUAGAUAUUCGGUGGAACACCAGUGGCGAAGGCGGCUAACUGGACUGAUACUGACGCUGAGGUGCGAAAGUGUGG
RNAcentral lists this ribosomal RNA (647 nucleotides) under uncultured Hyphomonas sp. RNAcentral's name for it is "bacterial SSU rRNA". It matches the Rfam family "Bacterial small subunit ribosomal RNA", at positions 61 to 764 of the family's 1533-position model. The record is from RNAcentral. Lineage: Bacteria; Pseudomonadati; Pseudomonadota; Alphaproteobacteria; Hyphomonadales; Hyphomonadaceae.